Molecule: long non-coding RNA, 208 nt
Filed under: Solanum tuberosum (potato)
Lineage: Eukaryota; Viridiplantae; Streptophyta; Magnoliopsida; Solanales; Solanaceae
Description: long non-coding RNA (STUB_LNC004581)
Source: RNAcentral
UCCUCAUCCUCACACUCACUUGCUCGAGUCUUGAAACAGGUUACUAGAAGUUGUAGAAGACUCCACAAAAGGACUCAAAGGGACUUUCUUAGAAUGUUCGAAAGAACUCUCAAAACUUAACUCUUAGCUCUACCUUGAAUUUGAAUUAUGAAUUCAAGGUUAUGAUCAUGUUAUGAAUGAUUUCUAGGUGUUUAGAAGUAGCUUAGAG